This 253-nucleotide ribosomal RNA is filed under the name uncultured bacterium. RNAcentral's name for it is "partial 16S ribosomal RNA". It matches the Rfam family "Bacterial small subunit ribosomal RNA", at positions 524 to 776 of the family's 1533-position model. The record is from RNAcentral.
CACGUAGGGCGCAAGCGUUGUCCGGAAUUAUUGGGCGUAAUGAGCUCGUAGGCGGUCUGUUGCGUCCGCUGUGAAAACUCGGGGCUUAACCCCGAGCCUGCAGUGGAUACGGGCAGACUAGAGGUAGGUAGGGGAGAAUGGAAUUCCCGGUGUAGCGGUGAAAUGCGCAGAUAUCGGGAGGAACACCGGUGGCGAAGGCGGUUCUCUGGGCCUUACCUGACGCUGAGGAGCGAAAGCGUGGGGAGCGAACAGG